UGAGGAAUAUUGCACAAUUAGCGCAAGCUAGAUGCAGCAACGCCGCGUGGACGAUGAAGGCCUUCGGGUUGUAAAGUCCUUUUAAGAGGGACGAGUAAGGACGGUACCUCUUGAAUAAGUCUCGGCUAACUACGUGCCAGCAGCCGCGGUAACACGUAGGAGACUAGCGUUAUCCGGAUUUACUGGGCGUAAAGCGCGUGUAGGCGGUUUGGUAAGUCGGGCGUGAAAUCUCCUGGCUCAACUGGGAGGGGCCGUCCGAAACUACCAGACUGGAGGGCAGAAGAGGGAGGUGGAAUUCCGGGUGUAGUGGUGAAAUGCGUAGAUAUCCGGAGGAACACCAGUGGCGAAGGCGGCCUCCUGGUCUGUCCCUGACGCUCAGACGCGAAAGCUAGGGGAGCGAACGGGAUUAGAAACCCCGGUAGUCCUAGCCGUAAACGAUGCGGACUUGGUGUUGGUGGCUUAAACUCCAUCAGUGCCGUAGCUAACGCGAUAAGUCCGCCGCCUGGGGACUACGACCGCAAGGUUA
Molecule: ribosomal RNA, 526 nt
Filed under: uncultured bacterium
Lineage: Bacteria
Description: bacterial SSU rRNA
Rfam family: Bacterial small subunit ribosomal RNA
Source: RNAcentral